AUUGAACGCUGGCGGCAGGCCUAACACAUGCAAGUCGGACGAGUGGCGGACGGGUGAGUAAUGUCUGGGACACUGCCUGAUGGCGGGGGAUAACUACUGGAAACGGUAGCUAAUACCGCAUACCAUCAGAUGUACCCAUAUGGGAUUAGCUUGUAGGUGGGGUAACGGCUCACCCAGGCGACGAUCCCUAGCUGGUCUGAGAGGAUGGUCAGCCACACUGGGACUGAGACACGGCCCAGACUCCUACGGGAGGCAUCAGUGGGGAAUAUUGCACAAUGGGCGCAAGCCUGAUGCAGCCAUGCCGCGUGUAUGAAGAAGGCCUUCGGGUUGUAAAGUACUUUCAGUCGGGAGGCGUUACCGACAGAAGAAGCACCGGCUAACUCCGUGCCAGCAGCCGCGGUAAUAC
This 406-nucleotide ribosomal RNA is filed under the name uncultured bacterium. Its description in RNAcentral is "partial 16S ribosomal RNA". It matches the Rfam family "Bacterial small subunit ribosomal RNA", at positions 30 to 526 of the family's 1533-position model. The record is from RNAcentral.